This 4400-nucleotide long non-coding RNA is filed under the name Homo sapiens (human). RNAcentral's name for it is "HSALNT0031064". The record is from RNAcentral. Lineage: Eukaryota; Metazoa; Chordata; Mammalia; Primates; Hominidae.
CUGGAUGGAUGGAUGAAGGCACUCUCCCAGGCUUCCAACUCUUGAACACCUGAGCGACCAUCUGGAGCCCACACAUCCUCAACAGAUCACACUGCUGCUUGGCCACUGCUCUCCACCCUCUUCUGAGGCUGCUGCUUAUACCACAGUGUUGAUGGCCUCCUCUCUGCUCCCCAGAGCAGAUGCUCCCACCAACACUGCUGCUCUUGGGCAUCAGAUAGGUUCUGCGAGCUUCACCAUUGUCAGAAGGCCCAGAUGGCUCCGGGAGGUCCCAUGGAUGCUCAGCCCAAACCAGGAGUUUUCUCACACUCCAUGCAAGUGAGUUGGCGCAGAUAGACGUGCGGAAAUUGGAAUCUAACUCCACAUAAACCAGUUAUGUAUACGGGAAGUCCUUAUUUUGCAUAGUAAUGCAAGACCAUAAAAAUGACUGUGUAAGCUGAAACCCUGCAAAGCAAUCUUAAUCGAAGGGAAUAAUUACAGUUGUUCUGUGACCUUUAAACAUUUUUGUCAAAACAUUAAACAUUCUCUUACUGUUGUUUAUAAAUGCAUGGGGAAAUGAAAAAUUAACAAAACUAAUAUUUAUUUAUUACACUGUAAUUUAAAACAUUAGAAACAUUGAGAAUUAAGGUGUUUUAUUUCUUUGUAAAGAACAUAUCAAAAGUAGUUUGCACAGUUCUUGCCUUUCUCCCCUUACUGUAUAGCUUAUGAUACAGCUGGAGCAACUUUUCUAUGCCUUGGUGAAUUGUCGUACUUUGUUGUAAGUGUAGUCUAGUUCUAAGUCAGGUCCUAAUGUUUUAUCCUUUGCUCUUGCAAUGUUACAAAAUAUCUAUAAGAAUUCCUUGAAGGUGAAGUUUUUUGCCAGUGCCACUUCCACUGGCACAUCUUCAUUUUCUUGGAAUCUGGAUGCAGAUUUCCCAGCUGCAUGCUUACAUGUGCUAGCAGCUUCAUCACUAGCUUGACAUCAAUCAAUUCAUGCUAAAUUCUGGAAUGAGGAAACAAGCCUUUACUGGCAGUAAAAUAUUCUUCUUCAGUAUCCUUGUAAUUACCAUUUUCUUUCAAUGUGGCAACUAAGAUCAAUGCUUUGGCCAGGAUGCAAGCCAAACUACUUCGGAUUUUGAAAUAUUACAGUCUUCAAUCCAAAGUAGAAAACUCUCCAAGCAUAAGCAGCUUUCUGGUCCUAUUGCAAUUUAAACUAAGAGAUGAAGCAACGUUACCUUGCUUUUAAUACACAUUGGAUUUUUCCAGUGCAGUUUGUUCCAUAGCUCCAUGCAGGCCAUGGUGCAUCCAGUCUUUGCUCUGCUCUUGCCAAUUUCACAUCUUCAAUCUAAUCACAUCCAGUUUACUGCCGGCAUUAUCACUUUUUGUUUCUUUGUUGCAUUUUUAUUUUUGUUAGCUUACCCUCUAUCCAGUGAUCCAUUUUUUGUAAAAUUUUCAUCACAUGGAUUUAUCACUGGAAGACAAGGAGGCAACACAACUUCACAUUUUGCUGUCUGGGCAUGAACUGAGUAACAGAUAUGCAAUGACUAAUCAAGGACAGGCUUUGAAAGAAGUGAUGUGAUUGGUUCAUCAUGAUGUGCAUCUGUUGUUUAUAUCAUGAUUUGCGGACUGGCAAGCAGGCAGUGAAGUUUGUACUUUAUGCAAUUAUAGUUAAUAUAUACUGUGGUGACUGAAAUUUGAACUAGUUUUUGGGAACGGGUAUUAUUUCGCUAAACUGAAACUUGUGCACAUCAGUGCCAUAAAAAGCAAGGACUGCUUAUUAAUGUGUACCAACCAAAUACUUUUGGGCACAUUCACAGCACAGCACUUCCUCCUCCUUGUGGUUGGACGGUUCCACGUGACCAGUCUAGCCAAUGGAUUGUGAGCAGAAGUUACAUGUGUCAGUUCCGUGCCAAACCAUUUGAUGGACAGUCAGUCGUGUCCUAGCCCCUGAGGAUAUCGGAGGAGGUGGCUGCUCUGUUAGCCUAAGUCUCUGAGCAACAAAGGUGAGCAGAGGCCCCCUGCUGAGAUAUGAUGGACAUGUAGCAUAAGCAAGAAGUAAACCUUUGUUUUAAGCCACUGAGAUCUUGGGGUUAUUUGUUUCUGUAGCAUAGCAACUCGUUAUGAUUGAUAUAAAAUAUCAUCAGGAGGUAAUCUAGGAAAAGGAGGAUAGGGAGCUGGGCAGAAUUUAGAACUCAGAAAUUGGCAGCUGAUAGUAAAAGGGCUCCAAAUUUGUAGGGGUAGGAGGAGAGGAAGAAUCAGGGGCAUGUACUUAAAAAAUCUUUAUAUGAUAAAAAAAAAAUUAGCACAGACACAGAAAAUAAAUGUAUAGCUUAAUAAAUUAUUAAAAAAUGAAGGUUAUCCAUUUAUGGAUUAAUAGAUUAAUGGACUAUCAUGGGAGUGGGACUCGUGGUUUAUAAGAAGAGGAAGAGAGACCUGAGCUAGCACUCAGCCCCCUUGCCAUGCAAUGCUCUGUACCAGUUUAGGACUCUGCAGAAAGUGCCUACCAUCAAGAAUGUCUCUCGCCAGACGUGGUAACUUGACCUUGAACUUCUCAGCCUCCAUAACUGUAAGAAAUAAAUUCCUUUUCUUUGUAAAUUACCCGGUUUCAGGUAUUCUUUUAUAAGCAAUAGAAAAUGAGACUGUUUCCUCACCCCUCCCUCUUUGCCCUCAAGAGGCGACCACUUACUUGCCUCUUAUGGAAACACCCUCCUUCCUUUCCUCAUGCCAUUAUCAGUCCACAUGUGCAUCCUUCAACAUUGUGGUUUAGUUUUACUUUUUAAAUAUUUUAAAGUCUCUUUUAAUGUACAGACUUCCCCUUUACCACACUCCUUUCCCCUUGUGAAUGUAUGUGUUACAAGAACUAGAUCAUUGGUAGAGUUUCCCACAGCAUAGAUUUUGCCACUUGUACCCCCACGGUGCCAUUGAUGUGUUCCUCUGGCCCCUGUAUUUCCUGUAAAUUGCUAGUUGGAUCUAUAGGCUUGAUCCAAUGUGGGUUUGAUUAUUUUUGGCAAGACAACGUCAUAGGUGGUGGUGCCUUUGUUCUCCAGAAAGUGUAAUCAUCUUUAAAAUAAUUAUUAUUUUAAUAAUAACCAUAGGUGUUCAUUUAUUUGGGGUUACAGAAUGGCAAAAUUCCAAUUUGAAAUGUCUCCUGUUCCACUCUGGUUACCAAUGAUGCAGUUCAAAUGGGACCAUCAGGGUAAAUGCUUGAUUUUUUUGUUUGUUUGUUUCUUCAGAAUUCAAAGCUUUGUCACAUACAUGUACUAGUUGCUAAGAUCUGAAUGUGGCAAAACUGUUGUAAAGGUCAACCUGGCCUCGAUUGGCCCAGCCUUCUCUCCCCAGGUCCUUUGACCUCCUGAGAGAUCAUUCCAGGCCCUGUGAAUCUCAGUUUUUCUUCCCAUCUCCCCACCCCGUCAGAGCCCACCUUCAUGGAGGGAAGGUCCUCAUGCUCACUCACCUUAGGAGGUAAAUUGUGGGCAUUGUCCACUCUAGGGAAUGUGGAUUUUAAGGCCUCUCUCUCAAAUAUUGUCUCACUUAGUCCCUGUGGAGUUCAAAACAGGUAGCUUCAAGCCCAAACUCACCUUGCAAUGUUUUGUUUUGGCCAUCACAGAGUGUUUUCACUUGUUGUUUGUUUUGCUUUUAAGUGGAGCAAGACUGCAUUUAGGCAGGGGCAUAUUCUCUGCAGUUAGAUCAGAGCCCACCGCCUCCCCUUGCAUUGUACCCGCCCUGUGUUCUGAGUCCCUUUGUGUUGCAGAACCUUGUAGGUAGGUGUUAUUAGCCCAUUUUUCAGGUGAAUGGACAAGAACUGGAGAAUUGAUGUGGGGGACCUAGGUGAGGCACAAAUGGAAAUGGAACAGCCACUGAGUGCUCUGGGAAGGAGACCACAAGCCAAAGGAGAGAGUCCACACUGGGAAGACCCAGCUACAGGGCCCUCUCCAUCCAGCCUGGUGCAAACUAAAACCCACAUUCUUUUUUCUUCCCUUUUACAGAGACAGCUCAAGGAAGCAUGAUAAAAUGAGGCCUAAGAUAAUAUUUGAGGGGAAAGUUUAUUUUUUUAUGGUCUGUUUGCAUUACACCAUCGGGUGAAGAGAGGAGGAGAAAGACUUGUCCCAAAUGGCAGAGCUGGAGAAGCACAAAUCCAAUGUCAAUAGUUGGAAAUACAAGUGUGUGGUUUCAUUAAACUUCUUUUUUUAAAAAAAACUUUGUUCUUCCUUUUCCUGAGGCAGUCCAAGGGAAGGGGACACAGAGGUGGAAACAGACAGGGAGAGAGGAGGGAGCAAGCCAGGGCCAGCGAAGGGGGCUUGUCUUAAGGAACCUGCUCCCGCUGUGAGUGUCCUCAGCCAGCCCAGGAGGCUGGCAGGCCUGAUCAGAAGCAGCCAGCCAGAGCCUUCCGCUGAUUCCAAUGACGGCUGCUAAGCAGGGGCAGG